GACGAACGCUGGCGGCGUGCUUAACACAUGCAAGUCGAACGGUAAGGCCCUUCGGGGUACACGAGUGGCGAACGGGUGAGUAACACGUGGGUGAUCUGCCCUGCACUUCGGGAUAAGCCUGGGAAACUGGGUCUAAUACCGGAUAGGACUCCUGGCUUCAUGGUUGGGGGUGGAAAGCUUUUGCGGUGUGGGAUGGGCCCGCGGCCUAUCAGCUUGUUGGUGGGGUAAUGGCCUACCAAGGCGACGACGGGUAGCCGGCCUGAGAGGGGGACCGGUCACACGGGGACUGAGAUACGGCCCAGACUCCUACGGGAGGCAGCAGGGGGGAAUAUUGCACAAUGGGCGCAAGCCUGAUGCAGCGACGCCGCGUGAGGGAUGACUGCCUUCGGGUUGUAAACCUCUUUCAGCUAUGACGAAGCGCAAGUGACGGUAGUAGCAGAAGAAGGACCGGCCAACUACGUGCCAGCAGCCGCAGUAA
Molecule: ribosomal RNA, 478 nt
Filed under: uncultured bacterium
Lineage: Bacteria
Description: partial 16S ribosomal RNA
Rfam family: Bacterial small subunit ribosomal RNA
Source: RNAcentral